UAUAGGUGAAAGAUAUAUUCCAUUUCUUUUGAAAAAUACAUUUAAUGUACUUAAGUCACACUAGACUUUAAUGAAUGCUUACAUUUAACAGAGAAUUAAGUUUCUUUGCUGAAUGAGGGCCUAAAUGAAAUCGUUUUAAAAAAUAAAAAAUAAGAGUUUUCUAGUCUUGUAGAUUUUUCAUCUCUAAUUAAGAUAUUGGGGAAAUUGUAAGUUUUUUAUUUUUUUAAGGAGAAAUAGACAAAAUUCAUAACAAGAAAUUGUUACUUAUUUCUGAUUUCUCCUUCCAGGUUUUUAAAAAGUAAGCCCCACAAACUUUGAAAACAGAAAGGAUAAAAACAAUCCAGAAGAGUGCAUAAGGAGUACAAGCAAGGAAAUUACUAGAAACAGCUGACCUUAAACCAGUCUUUCAGAAUGACAGGCUGCCAAAGUUAAAGGAGCAGAUGGACAAGAAAAGAAUAUCAAAGAAAGGACAGAAAAAGUACUCAGCCUUUGUUUUAAGUACUUUUAGACAUUUCUCCUGCCGUUGUGUUAUUGACUUAAAGAAUAAUGACUUCCUUCGCUUCCUAAUUUCUAUAAAUUAUGUUUUUUUUACAGGUAGGACAAUGUCAGCUUCACCAUGCAGAGUGUUUACAGUUGGGAAUGUUUGCAAGGAGAAAAGAUAACUUUAUCAGAUUACUUUUCACAGGGUUUUUUCUGCAGAUCUCCUAGGCACUAUAAGGUUCACUGUUGAAAGAUUUGGGGUGAAAUCAUGGCCAAUGGGAAUUCUGCCAUCAACUUCAAAAGAUAAUUGUCAUGAGAAUAGCUUCAAAACACUCAGAAGCUGAGAAACAGAAAAAUACAGUGCUGAAGAAGGAAAGCCAAAUAGCAGGUAAAUGUAUCAUGAAACACAAGCUUAUUCAGUAAAACUACAUUUUUGAGAAGAGUUUGGCAAGA
Long non-coding RNA from Pezoporus flaviventris, 933 nucleotides. RefSeq lists it as uncharacterized. Lineage: Eukaryota; Metazoa; Chordata; Aves; Psittaciformes; Psittacidae. The transcript is spliced from 2 exons. The record is from RefSeq and is a predicted model, not a curated record.